AGUCGCGAUCUGCGAGCGGGUGGGUGCGCCUCGGGCCGCGGGACUGCUGCUGCUGCUGCUGCUGCUGCUGCUACCGCCGCCGCUGCCGCCGCCGCCUCUACGGCCGCGUCAGAACUGAAGAGAGGAAGGGGAGGAGCCCAGGCGAGCCUAAGCUACCGCCUGAUCUUACCCCUGACCCUAGGGCGGCGCGGAGAGGGAGCUCUGUCGCCGUUCCCUCCGGGGCAGGUGCGGACUGCUCCUCUGGGAAUGAGGAGGCCCGGGAUCGGGCUAGGGCGCGCAACACCCGAAGGUGAGGCUUUUGGCCCGGAGCAGAUCCUGGAACCGAGAGACGGCUGGAAAAGUUAACCUACAGCCAGUGGCUGCACCUGCUCCCGGGAGCGAACGUCCCACCCUUCCCUUGGCGUGGGGUGAAACCUUGCGCCGCAUUGUGUGUAGUAGUGCACUACGAAGGUUUGAUGAGUGAAUGAAUGAAUUAAUGCCUCUAGCACAGCAAUAGCGGGACUCAGAGGUGAUAGUGGAAGCGCACGCGUUUUGUAAGUUGAAGCGUAGAAACAAGUUGUACUACAUCUCCCUCCUCACCCCCACCCGCCCCCUGCCACGAAAGAAAAAGGAUGCCGUUUCUUCAGAGUCGCAACUUCAGAGUUUUGUGGGAAAGGAGGCGAAUUGGCAGGACUGGGGAACAGGGCUGAAAGAGAAUCAACAUCUAGGAUAUUAUUUAGGGGAUUUCUAUGUUUUCAAGGGGCGAAUGUAGUCGAGCCCCCUUUUAAAAGUAAUUCUUGCUUGUUUGGAUUUUUUGGAGCUUUUUAGAUUUUGUCAACAGAGUGCCCCUUAACCAUCUUCAAAAGAGUUUGGCGCCUCUCAGGUCUUUCUUCAAAGCGCUCUCGCGCGCUCUCUCUCUCUCUCUCUCUCUCUCUCUCUCUCUCUCUCGUGUGUGUGUGUGUGUGUGUGUGUGUGUGUGUGUGUGUGUGUUGUGGGGAGUAUGUUAUUAAUAAAUCUAUUGGGCCGUUUGUCCUACAGAUUCUGGGCUAGGAAAUGUUUAAGGAAAAACUCAUGAAAUGUAAGCUGUGGUUCUCUAAUAAAAGAAUUUUCGAGAUAAAAGAACUACAGCGCUCAGAAAUCUGUUACGAACUUACUUGCCCUCCUUAGUGGUGUGACAGUGAGAUUAAAGCAGCAGCAAAGAUGAAGGGAAACAGUUGUGUGGCUGGACCCCGUCCCUCUGGAAGCUACAGCGAUGGCUAUCAUAAGUGCUUCGGGUCUCUCCACCCUUCUUGGGAGAUUGGACCAAACAUGCUCUGUCCGCAUUUAAGAAGCAAGCCCAGGUUUAUGCCACGGCUGCUACCACUUCGUGCAAAGUAGAUCAAGAAAAUGCCUAUGUUGAUAAAUCAAGGGUUCAUUUUUGUUCAAAGGCUACAAAAACAAGAGUGAGUGAAGGGAAGAGGAGGAUGCCACAAAAGCAAGGAGAGACAAGUUGCACCAGGUCCUUCUGAAAUCCCAGGAGUCAUAUAACUUGCCCUAAGUACCCUGGGUUUGACUGUCUACAGACAAGAUCCAUUCACAGGCUGUAUUCAAUAAGAUUCACAGGGAAUCAGAUCAAUUAAUAAACAGUAGGCCAGCAUGGCUCCAACCUAAUCCUUUUGUUGAACUCUCUUCCUUACAGUAGGAAGUAAAGAAAUAAAAUACAGGUGUAUAGGGGUUUGGGAAGCUGAGCACCUCAGAGUCAGAGCUGUGCAGCCAAGGAUGCUUUCGGAGGAGUGCACCAUGCAGAGUGUCAGAUCAUCGCUGAGGGUCAGAGUGGCACUCACAAGAGCCCUGAGCAGCCUGCUCAGGAAUUAAACUUACUGAGUAAGGUCAUUCACGUCCCUGUCCUGCCUGGUAACAGGAGCAAGCAGCUGUUCUACAACUGGCUGCUGGAGAGGACAAAAUUCCUACCUCUCCAGUUUGUUCUAUAUCCUUUCAGAUCCUUGUGUUGUCUGUGAAUCUAGAGGAGAGAUAUAUCCGUUUAAUCAUAUUUCUGAAAAGUAAGUCAGAAAAACUUAUUUCAGGUAACCCAGUUCUUCUCCUGACUCACCAGUUUAUCACCAAGAUCUGUAUACUGUGUUAAAGUGGGACAAAGGGAUCUCUGUGUAAGGUUUAUAACUUUUCCCUUGAAAGGGAGCUUGACGGACAGUGUUGGUGCAUGCCUUUAAUCCCAGCACUCGGAAGGCAGAGGCAGGCGGAUUUCUGAGUUCGAGGCCAGCCUGGUCUACAGAGUGAGUUCCAGGACAACCAGAGCUACACAGAGAAACCCUGUGUCAAAAAAAAAAAAAAAAGGAAAAAGAAAGGGAGCUUGUUUGAGAAACUACUCAAUGUUUUAUUAUCCCACAUCACUGGUUUCUACUGUCAAACUAUAUAACAGAUUAACAGGCAAAAUUUCUAAAAACACACUAUAGCAUAUCAGUUCAUUUUAAGCAUUAUUGUGAAAUAUACUUUAAACAUGUAAGACAAUUGUGUGGUGUAAUUAUCAAAGAAACUACCAUGUAAGCAGUCAAACAGGCCAAUAAAUGGAGUUUGCUAAUCCUCCAAAGCCCUGUAAUGGCCUUCCUAAACAAGUCUCCCUUCUGGGAGAGUGGACAUUCCCUGGCAUUUGUGGUACUCGUUUCCUUGCGUCCGUCAUUGUUCUGUCACAGGUGUUCCUCCCUAAGCAGUACAUUGUUUAGUUUUUCCCUUUCUUGUGAAUGUUCUAUAGAGGGAAUGAUAAUGUGUAAUCUGUUAUGCUUACCAUAUUUGCUCAACCUGACUGUAAUCCAUAUGUUGUUCGGGUUCGUAUAGCUGUAAUUUGUUCCCUUUAAUUUAUGAAUAUUCAGUGUUCCAUUGUAACAAUAUAUAACAGUUUGUUUAGCCGUGUUGCUGAUAGGAGUCUGGGUUCAGUUCUAGGCUGUUAGAAAUACUGUUGAAAUUUUCCUAAGACUUUAAUCCAUCUCAUCUACAUAAAUUUCUGUAUACUGUGUACUUGGGAUUGUAUGUCAUAAGCUUGAAUAAAUCAUGCUGCGUGUCGUCUAACAUUCUAGGUCACAUUUGCUACAUGCAUGCCAUUGCUCCACACCUCACAACGCUUGGCAAGAACUCAGUCUUCAAAUCCUGCUGAGUGUUGAGCAGAACUCACUUCAGUGUUAACUUAGGUUCCCCCUGUUAUUGACUCUGUUGAGGGCCUUCUUUCUAGAGGAACAGAACUUAAAGAAGGGGGCUUUAUUAGAACAGCUAGUCAACAACCAAAGAGAGGUCCAAGAAUCUAGUAGUUGUUCAGUACUAAAGGCUGACUGCCUCUGCUGGUUUUCAGUAUGUGUUAGAAUGCCAAUUAAGGAGACUCUAAUGCCUAUGAAGGAAUGGAUUUACCCUUGAGAGCAAGAGCUAGCAUGCAAAGAGCAAGCUUCCUUCUUCCACUUGCUUUCUAUAGGCUGCCAGUAGGAGGUGUGGCCCAGAAUAAAAGUGGGUCUUCCCACUUCAGAAGGUCCAAUUAAAAGCAGCUCUUCCCACUUCAAAUGAUUUUUGAUUAAGAAAAGUUCCCUUUCAGAUGUACCCAACUACUUGGGUUUUAGUUAUGAGCCACCAUGUUGUUGCUGGGAAUUGAACUCAAAACCUCUGCAAGAGCAGUCAAUGCUCUUAACCGUUGAGCCAUCUCUCCAGCCUCUCGAGUGUCUUUUUGUAGUCUAUGUUUGAACACCAAAUUGGACUACAGUAAUGCCAUCAAAUGAGUAUAUUCAAAACAGAUUCUUUCUAAAAUAAGAGUCUAGCCUACCUAAUUAUCUUUAUGAUUUGAUCAUAAACUGUUUAAAGUAGGAUAUACACAAACACACUAUACAUAUAUUCCUUACAAAACAAUGCAUUUUCAACUAUUAAAAGCAUAACAUCUUAGCUUUAUUUUCCCUCAGUUCAUGAAGGCAGUGUUUACUCUCAAAGCCGUAAGAAUAAGAUCUCUUGUGGCUCUGUAUUUUUCUCAUAGACAGUUAUAAGAAGUUGUUUUCCCACCAGAGCUUUUGAAUUUCAUUUCCUUGGUUCAUUGAUUUUAUAAAAGUCACAAUGGCUUAUUCUUUCCUACACAGUCCCUACUGAAGUAUAGGGAAUUAUUUUUGUAAUUUUAUUAAGUAAUUUCACAUAUACUGUGACAUACCACCCAAUAUACUACGUUUGGCCAUUAUUUUUUCUUAUCUCAGCUCUUUGUUCAACUGGGUGAUAUUUUAAAACUGGAGGAAGCUGGGGCCCUGAGAGAUUGAUUUGCCAAGAGUCAGGAAAGCAAGUGAAUAGGAAAGCUGAGCUCCACCCUGCGUCUUCAGAAAGAGACCAUUCCACUCUAUCCCACUGACUCGGUCUUCUGCAGCAGCUAAGCAGAGUGAUUCCCAGGCUCAGUGGGACACUGUUCAGUCCCACAAAGCAGAGCUCUAGUGGAGUAAGUUUUCUUCUGGCCUACGAAUUUUAGGACCUGUGAAAGAGGAAGCCUUGCCAGGAAGGAGACGAGUCUAGAAAGAGAGUAAGGAAAGAUAAUGAAAGGAAAAUGUAAUCAAAUUGCAUUAUGUAUGGAAUUGUAGACAAUUACUCUUUAGAUUAAUGACAUUUUUAAGAUUAAUAAUGCUUAAAGGGAAUUAAAUAAAAGGAAACUUGCUUUCAAAAUGAAA
This 4649-nucleotide long non-coding RNA is filed under the name Mus musculus (house mouse). Its description in RNAcentral is "predicted gene, 35486 (Gm35486)". Lineage: Eukaryota; Metazoa; Chordata; Mammalia; Rodentia; Muridae. The record is from RNAcentral.